UUGCGUAUUUGCGAGGCGGCGUCGCGUCGGCGCGUUUCUGCCGCGCCCGAGGUGCGUGGAAGCGCCAGAUUGCGAGGGCGGUGUCGGUGGUGGUAGGAGCAGCAGCAGCAGCAGCAACAGCAGCAGCAGCAGCAGCAGCAGGACGUUUUCGAGGCUUCGUGCCUCUCCUCCUUGCUUGCUCGCUCGCACGCUACUACUCCUCGUCUCGUCCUCGGCGAGACGACGUGUUCGUUUCUUCUAUUUUUAUCGUCGUCGUCAUCGUCGUCGUCGUCGUCGUCGUCGUCGUCGUCGUUGUUGUCGUCGUCGUCGUUGUGGUUGUCGUUGUCGUUGUCAUUGUCGUUGUCGUCGUCGUAGUCUUCGUUUACGUCAAAUUCGCUUUUCAUCGUCCUCGUUAAAAAUACGAAUUUGUUACACAUACAUACAGACAUAUAUAUAUAUAUAUAUAUAUAUAUAUAUAUAUAUAUAUGUAUAUAUAGUAUAUAUUGUUUGGAGGAGAUCAAAAGAGAAAAGGGAAGAAAAACAGGGGUAGUAGUGCCGGACGGUUCUCGUUGUCGAUGUCGUCGCGUAUCAUCGCGCUUCGUGCACGUUCGUCGCUCGCGCCACACUCGAGAACGCGUCGUCGUCGUCGUCGUCGCGAGAAAGCCGCCCCUUCGCACGGUGCACGGUGCGACACUCGACAGUCGUCUCGACGCCACGAACGAGCGCGCUUCUUCUUCUUCUUUGCUGCCGCUUCCUCUUACAAUUCUUCUAGAUUUUGUUCUUCCACUGCAACAGCCGUCGCGCAAGAAUCGUCGCAAGAAUCGCCGACAAGGUGUCAUUCCAUUUUGAGCCAACGGUCGAGCAUAGAUAACAACAGAAGGAAAAACAGAAGUUCUAGUAAUAUUAACGGAAACAACGCAUUACCCAAAGUCUAUCGUGUCGCGUUUUCAUAUUUAAUUUUUAUUUGAUACUUUAUUCUUCUUAUUCUUAUUCUUCUUUAUUGCGUGACACACGCGCGCGUGUCGAUGCUCUCCCACUAUUACCACUACUACUGCUACUACUACUACUACAAUUAUCACCACCACCAUCUCCAGCUGCCACCGUUGGAAGCUCGUUGCCGCGGCAGGAGGCAGCACAGCUCCACGCAGAACACCCUUCUACACGGUGGAAUUUAAGGUUAUAAUCUCGACGCGUUUUACCCUUACGCGUUGAUACGUCCAUCUCGUCGUUUGGGUUCUUCUACCCGCUGUUGUCGCCCACCACGUCGACAACGUCGUCGUCGUCGUCGUCGUAGUGGACAUCACACAGCGUAUCUACAAGUAACCGUCCACUCACGACAUUUUCGAACGUUCUCGCGGCAACACGGCUUAAGUCCGAGCACUGAAGGGUCUGGAGGGCACGAAGGCGAGAAGAAAUGAGGUGGACGUGACACAAUGACAUGAUGAAGAGCCUGGUGGGGAUCAUGUGGAUAGUGUUGGUGCUCAUAUCAGGAUGCUCAGGAAAUCCAGACGCAAAGCGACUUUACGACGAUCUCCUCUCGAAUUACAACAAACUGGUACGUCCAGUGGUAAACGUCACGGAUGCCCUCACCGUCAAGAUCAAGCUCAAACUCUCACAGCUCAUCGACGUGAACUUGAAGAAUCAGAUUAUGACGACGAAUCUUUGGGUCGAGCAGUCAUGGUACGAUUACAAAUUAAAAUGGGAUCCGAAGGAGUACGGUGGAGUGGAAAUGUUGCACGUGCCAUCCGAUCAUAUAUGGAGACCAGAUAUAGUUUUAUACAACAACGCCGACGGUAACUUCGAGGUAACACUGGCAACGAAGGCAACAUUAAAUUAUACAGGGAGAGUCGAGUGGAAGCCACCGGCGAUUUACAAGUCUUCCUGCGAGAUCGACGUCGAGUAUUUCCCUUUUGACGAGCAGACCUGUGUUAUGAAAUUUGGAUCGUGGACCUACGACGGCUUCCAGGUCGACCUUAGACACAUCGACGAGAUCCGUGGCAGUAACGUCGUCGACAUUGGCGUCGAUCUGUCGGAAUUUUAUACUUCCGUCGAGUGGGACAUACUCGAAGUUCCUGCUGUUAGAAACGAGAAGUUCUACACGUGCUGCGACGAGCCCUAUCUCGAUAUCACGUUCAACAUUACGAUGAGGCGAAAGACUCUCUUUUACACGGUCAAUCUUAUAAUACCGUGUAUGGGUAUAUCGUUUCUCACGGUACUGGUCUUCUAUUUACCGAGUGACAGCGGUGAAAAGGUCAGCCUAUCCAUCUCAAUUCUACUAUCGUUGACUGUGUUCUUCCUUCUUCUGGCUGAAAUCAUCCCACCCACGUCGCUAGUUGUACCGCUUCUUGGUAAAUUCGUCCUUUUCACCAUGAUCCUAGAUACUUUCAGCAUAUGCAUCACAGUGGUAGUACUCAACGUUCACUUCCGUUCGCCACAGACUCACGUGAUGGCACCGUGGGUCCGCCGUGUCUUUAUCCAUGUCUUACCAAGAUUACUCGUGAUGCGCAGGUAUAAUACGACUUCGAAGAGAACCGAUUACGAUUCCAGGCCGCAGUAUCAAAUAGAUAAACGUAGUAUAGGCGGACAACAUGGACAACGGGUGAUGGUCAGAACAUGCAAUGGUCUUGAAUUGAGAGAUCCGUCUCUAUUCGUUGAAACUUCGGCUUCGGAGUUGGUUGAAUCUUCUGUUCUCUUUCCGAGUUUAGAUUCGCAAGACGAACUGCAUCCUCGUGAAUUAGAAGCGGUAAAUUUAGGAAGUGCGUGUCGUAUUCACGGCUCGCCUGCAGCCACUGUGGCACCACCACCUCAGCUCCCAACGGAGGAAAGCGUUGAUGCUCUCUGCAACACGCUUCAUCACUGGCAUCACUGCCCAGAACUGUACAAGGCCAUUGAAGGCAUUCGUUUUAUCGCCGAGCACACGAAAAGAGAAGAGGACUCUACCAGAGUCAAAGAAGAUUGGAAAUACGUUGCGAUGGUGCUCGAUAGGCUAUUCUUGUGGAUUUUUACAUUAGCCGUGGUCGUCGGUACGGCGGGUAUAAUAUUACAAGCGCCGACUUUGUACGAUGAUCGCAUUCCUAUCGACGUACGACUCUCCGAGAUCGCCUCCACCACUGCCAAGCCACACAUCGUUUCAAGCCUCUGAGGGCCAAUUGCUAAUUAUCCCGUUACUCUCGCGUAUACCUAUGAACACAAAAGACAUACCCAUUGUAAACAUAACAAUGUGUCAGAAGUAACGACUGAAAGACUGAAGUCUCGGUGAGUCUUCGACUUUUAUUAACGAUUAAUUCUUCGGCUCGUACGUUCAAUCGUAUAUGUUUACACAUACGACAUAUAUGUAUGUGUACGUAUGUACGCGCGUACGUGUACGACGAGCGAAGAGGAAUAGGGGGAAAAAAAAAAGUAAAAUUAAAUAAAAUAAGAAAGCAAAAGACGCGCGCGUACCAAAGCUUUCAACCCGUGACACAACGAAGAUAAAAAAGGGAGUUCGAAGGGUUGUGAGAAGAGAGCCGUGCGAUAAAAUUCUCAGAGUUUGGAAAAAUGUGAGACUUUUUCUUCUUAAUCUUUCCUUUUUUUUCUUUCUUUCUUUCUCUCUUUCUUUCUUUCUUUCUUUCUUUUGUUUUCUUUAAUUUUACAUACAAAUUUUUAGUUUUUACAUCAAAACGACUCGAAUAACUUAGGAAUAUAUUUAUACAUAGAGCCAAUAUCGUCCUCCAUUAUAUUGUAAUAUCUCCUUUGUAUGAUGUUAUCUCUGAGAAUUGUGUCAUGGGUACAGCGACGUGUGUGUGUGUGUGUGUGUAUAAGAAAGGAGAACGUUUAGCAACAAAACAAGUAUUUAUUCGCCGCACCGUUCGACGCAAGCACGGCCUCUCUUUUCGGGGACCGUAAUAUGUUGCGUAUAGAAAGUCACGAUGACGUUUAAUAAAGGUAAUAAAUAAAUUAAAAAAAUAAAUAAACAAAUAAUAUAUAUGUAUUAUAUAUAUAUUUAGAAUCAAGCGAUUGAAACACAUACAUACCGUAGAGAUAAUACAAAUGAGAAAAUGAGGAAGAGAGAAAGAGAGAAAGAGAGAAAGAGAGAAAGAAAGAAAGAGAGAAAGAGAGAGAGAGAGAGAGAAAGAGAAAGAGAGAGAUAAAAAGAGAUCUUAAAAGUUCAAGUAAGUUCAAUUUUAUGCCAGAUGCAUUUGAGAGAAACAAAAUCGUCGUAAUUCCUUUUUUAUUUUUAUUUAUUUUAUUUUUUUUUUUUUUUUCAUUUUAUCGAAUGUUUCGCCAUUGAAAAAAGUCAAUUUACAAAGGGUUGACGGAGUUAAUUGUGCCGAAAGUUUAACAAAUGAUUCAAGACUGAAAGUUCGGGAACGAUAGAUUUUCGUUCAAUGCUCCUCGCUUUCCUCGCGAUCAUUGUUAUUCGAUGCAGACAACAUCCGUCGCCCUAAUUUUUUUUUUAACGUCGAUAAUUAUCGUUUACAAACAGGAUUGGGUACAUAUUUUAAAUUAGACAAUUUUAUCGAAUAAAGUUUUCGGUUCUAUAGCUAUUUUGUAAUAGUUAUACAAAAAAGAAAAAUAAUAAAAUAUACGAAUGUCUGAACGACUUAUGCAAGUGAAUUGAAAAGAAAACUCGAUUUUAUACAAUAAAUUUAUCAUUAAAAUUUAUUCGGAAUAUAUGAAAGGUAAUAUAAUAUAAUUUCGUGUUACAUCGGUUAUUAGAAGUGUUCGUGAAAAGAAAAGGAGAAAGAAAAGAGGAAAUAAGCAAAGUAGAAAGAAAAUGAAAUGUUUAAAAUACGUGCUCAUCCUGUUUAACACUCCUGCCCCCCCCCCAAAAAAAAAAACGUGUGGAAAUUCUUAUAAUUAUAAUACUAUAUUACCGAGACUGUCUCGUCUUGUUGUACAGAAAAGGAAAUUGUAAAAAAAUGGGACCGAAAUAUAUUUUACAUUUAUAGCUUUGGUCAUUGUCGUGAAGAUCACCGCAGUGCACCACAAUGCCUUUCAACGAUAAAAAAAAUAUUUACGCUGAGACUAUAAAUUUUUGCUUGUAGAUUUAAACAAAAAUCACACGAUUUAGGACUGUCAAUAUUCAAAUUUUCGUGUUCGAUUCGCGAUAACGCGAACAUACUGAAGUGUCUAGUGUUUAUUUGUAAUAUAACAAACGCAUACAAAUACACAUAUACACAUAUAUACAUACACACACAGAGAAAAUAUACAUUAUUACACACAAACAUAAAUAUACAUACGAAAAUAUAUACAUAUACAUAUAUGUAUAUCUUAUUUAUAAUACAAUUCAACGUUACUUUACAAAUAUGGGAAUGUAAAUCAUAAAGAGCUUGAUAUAUUCGGAAUUAUGGUGCCUGACAGACAAGUACGAUUGAGUUUUAAAGAAUACUUUUAUAUAUUCUGAGAAGAGAAGAUACGUGAUACGUUAUUAAAAAUUCGUUGAUCGCCCAAGUUGAACGACGCGAUGUUUCGAUUGCUUGCGUAAGUCUUUCGGAUAUAUGUAUAGAAAAAGUACAUGUAUUCGAAUAUUCCGAAUGACAAAUGAUUUUGACUUUUGGCAGGCCUAUUGUAAAUGUAAAUGGCAUGGAAUUCAACGACGCCUGUUGCAGACUCAGGAAAAUAAUCGUUUUUCCAAAUAUUUACAUCGAGCCUGUAACAUAGGGGCCAUAUUUUCACAAAGAACAAGGUACUAAAUUUGCAAUUUGAUUUACGAUGGUAGCCAAAUCUCCACCGUGCUGCUAUCCUUGCCAAGAAAAGUAGAGUCUGAUUGGUAUAAAAUCGUUAGUUAAAAACAGUAUAUGUGCGUGUAGUCCGCUUUGGAGAUAAAGUAAAUAAUAACGUGCUAUUUAGCAUUUGAAUCUAUUGUAUCAUUUUUUAUAAUCUAUCGUUUAUGAGAUGAAUGAAGCUUUUAUAAAAGGCAAAAGGCACAAAUAUGUUAUGCAAUAUAGUAAAUCUUAUUAAAGUAAUUCCAUUGCAUAAAAUACUGAAGAAUGUAAUUAUAGACAUACAUUUAAAAAAAUUAAAGAGCCAUUCUUUAUAACUAUUACCGAAUAAUUUAAAUUAAUUAAAAGUUUUAUUUAAAAUGCAAGAUUACGAAUUAAUACAACAUGUUGAAAGGACUAGUUUCAUUUAUAUUUAACGUAUUAGCGCUGGAUUUACAUAAAUUUCGGAGAAAUUUAAUUUUUAUCAAUUAAAUAUGAGAGCGUGAAAGCAUAUGAGUGUGCAUGCAACAAAGAAAAAAAAAAGGAAAAAAAAACCUUGAUUAUUAUGAACAAAAUUACAUGUUAUGGAAGUAAGUGCAGUGAUAGUUAUUUAAUGUAAGUUGCAUCUAACAAUAUACAUAAAUAUAUAUAAAUAACCAUUACUCACUCGAUAAAAUAAUAUAGCAAGAUAUUUUGUGAGUGUGUCUAUAAACUCGAUUAAACUUAUAUGAUAAACUGACGUUGUCUUGAUUUACGAGAAGAAUAUAUGUAUUUGUUUCGAUAGAGAAAGGAAUUUUAUAAAGGUGUUGUAUAUGUGAGUGUCAUCAUUUAUGAAAGCGCCUUAUUCAGCGAGUUUCGUACAAAUUUCAAGAAAAAACAUCUCCAUCAUUUCAAUCAUUUUCGAAUGUUGCAGGGAUCUAUCAGGUUACGUGUAGCGCAUGGCAGAUAUAUUUGUUCGUUAACUAUAAAUAUUGUACUUUUUCCAAUUAUAUUCUCAUUAAUAUUAAUUUUCUAUCUGCCUUCUAUAGAUUAGAAAAAAUAUAAUAAGCAUUUUUACUUAGAACUUUUUCCUUGUAUUAAAUGAUACUUGACUGAGCCACCUUUAUAGAAACCUUUCUUACGAGAGGACAUCGUAAUUUUAGUAAGCAAAUAAUAUUUAAGUUACGCGUUAAUAUAUUUUUUAGCGCAGUCUGUCUAAAAGAAAAAUAAAAAAAAAAAAAAAAGAAAAAAAAAAAAAGAAAAACUGUCAUAAAAAAAAUUUUAUCGAAACGUUUUGAGAAACACGUUAUGUCUUGUAAAAUAUACCCACACUCAUAAUUUUUAACAGAUCAAUUGAAUUAGAAAGUGCAAUCACUUAUUGUAAUAAACAAUCGAUAAGUUUUAAAAUAAUACCUACAUACGUUAUAUUUUAAAGUUUUAAAAUGUAUUACAUUAUUAAAAGUAUAUUAUCUUCUUA
This is an RNA transcript of Vespa velutina, 7119 nucleotides long. It is a transcript of the gene named acetylcholine receptor subunit alpha-like, with no coding region annotated. The transcript has 15 exons. Lineage: Eukaryota; Metazoa; Arthropoda; Insecta; Hymenoptera; Vespidae. The record is from RefSeq and is a predicted model, not a curated record.